GAUGAACGCUAGCUACAGGCUUAACACAUGCAAGUCGAGGGGUAACGAGAGGAAAGCUUGCUUUCCUUGUCGACGACCGGCGCACGGGUGAGUAACGCGUAUCCAACCUGCCCCCAACUAAGGAAUAACCUUGCGAAAGUAAGACUAAUACCUUAUAAUUUCCUCAGAUGUCAUCUGACGAGGAAUAAAGAUUUAUCGGUUGUGGAUGGGGAUGCGUCUGAUUAGCUUGUUGGCGGGGUAACGGCCCACCAAGGCAACGAUCAGUAGGGGUUCUGAGAGGAAGGUCCCCCACAUUGGAACUGAGACACGGUCCAAACUCCUACGGGAGGCAGCAGUGAGGAAUAUUGGUCAAUGGGCGGAAGCCUGAACCAGCCAAGUAGCGUGCAGGAUGACGGCCCUAUGGGUUGUAAACUGCUUUUAUACAGGAAUAAAGUUGGCCACGUGUGGUUAUUUGUAGGUACUGUAUGAAUAAGGACCGGCUAAUUCCGUGCCAGCCGCCGCGGUAA
This 506-nucleotide ribosomal RNA is filed under the name uncultured bacterium. RNAcentral describes it as "partial 16S ribosomal RNA". It matches the Rfam family "Bacterial small subunit ribosomal RNA", at positions 28 to 523 of the family's 1533-position model. The record is from RNAcentral.